Non-coding RNA from Pongo abelii (Sumatran orangutan), 85 nucleotides. NCBI's taxonomy places the organism in Eukaryota, Metazoa, Chordata, Mammalia, Primates, Hominidae. The record is from Rfam.
UCUGAGACCAAGUUCAGUGCACCAUUUCCUUGUCUGUAGCCAUGUCUGUGGGCCCUUAAGUCUGCCACCUAAAUGAGAGCCUGCU